GUUGUAUGGUUAAGUGACUAAGCGUACACGGUGGAUGCCUUGGCAGUCAGAGGCGAUGAAAGGCGUAAUAACUUGCGAUAAGCCCAGAUUAGGUAGUAAUAACCUUUUGAGUCUGGGAUUCCUGAAUGGGGAAACCCACGUGCAUAAGCACGUAUCCUGUUGUGAAUACAUAGCAACAGGAGGCAAACCGGGGGAACUGAAACAUCUAAGUACCCCGAGGAAGAGAAAUCAACCGAGAUUCCGAAAGUA
RNAcentral lists this ribosomal RNA (249 nucleotides) under Vibrio cyclitrophicus. RNAcentral describes it as "partial 23S ribosomal RNA". It matches the Rfam family "Bacterial large subunit ribosomal RNA", at positions 1 to 245 of the family's 2925-position model. The record is from RNAcentral. Lineage: Bacteria; Pseudomonadati; Pseudomonadota; Gammaproteobacteria; Vibrionales; Vibrionaceae.